UGCAGAGGUCCCAAGCGUUGUUCGGAUUCACUGGGCGUAAAGGGUGCGUAGGCGGUCGGGUAAGUCUGACGUGAAAUCUUCAAGCUCAACUUGGAAACUGCGUCCGAUACUAUUCGGCUAGAGGAAUGGAGGGGAGACUGGAAUACUUGGUGUAGCAGUGAAAUGCGUAGAUAUCAAGUGGAACACCAGUGGCGAAGGCGAGUCUCUGGACAUUUCCUGACGCUGAGGCACGAAAGCCAGGGGAGCAAACGGG
Molecule: ribosomal RNA, 253 nt
Filed under: uncultured bacterium
Lineage: Bacteria
Description: partial 16S ribosomal RNA
Rfam family: Bacterial small subunit ribosomal RNA
Source: RNAcentral